AGAUGGCGACCGGCGCACGGGUGAGUAACACGUAUCCAACCUGCCGAUAACUCGGGGAUAGCCUUUCGAAAGAAAGAUUAAUACCCGAUGGUAUAAUCAGACCGCAUGGUCUUGUUAUUAAAGAAUUUCGGUUAUCGAUGGGGAUGCGUUCCAUUAGGCAGUUGGUGAGGUAACGGCUCACCAAACCUUCGAUGGAUAGGGGUUCUGAGAGGAAGGUCCCCCACAUUGGGACUGAGACACGGUCCAA
This 247-nucleotide ribosomal RNA is filed under the name uncultured bacterium. RNAcentral describes it as "partial 16S ribosomal RNA". It matches the Rfam family "Bacterial small subunit ribosomal RNA", at positions 86 to 334 of the family's 1533-position model. The record is from RNAcentral.